Molecule: long non-coding RNA, 544 nt
Organism: Spea bombifrons (plains spadefoot toad)
Lineage: Eukaryota; Metazoa; Chordata; Amphibia; Anura; Pelobatidae
Exons: 2
Source: RefSeq, a predicted model, not a curated record
AAGCCAGGUCACAACAGAAGUCAAAAUAAUGCAAGGUAUAGACUGGUACAAGUACAGACUAGAGACCAUACAAAGGCAUAGCUGACCUGUCUCUGAGUGUUUAAACAGCCUUCUUAUUAGUUAUCUCUGCUAAAUGGCACUAAGUGGCAACUAGUAAGUCAUGUGAUCAGACCCUAACAGAAUAAACCUCUAUGGUAACGGGAGUGGUUCAAUAGGUGAAUUCUUAUAUUCUUAAAUGUAGUAUAAGCCUGGUUCUUUUUUGAUUUUCAAAAUAUUUAAACAAAACUAUUUUUCUAUCAAAGAUAUGUAUGCAAGUUGUAUUCACUAAUAUGUGAGUUGUUUGCAAAGCAUGCAGUUUGAAAUAUUAUUUGUUUCAUGUGAAACCAUUCAAUUCAAUGAAAACUUGCACUUCCAGGAUUCAAAGAAUGAAAACAAUUGAGGGACUUGCCCAUACAGAAAUGAUUUGCAAAGCCUCAUUUUGACCAAAGGAAAAGGCUGCCAAGAAAAAAAAGCUAACAAUAAACAAUGCAAAAAUGUAAAUAAA